Molecule: long non-coding RNA, 2028 nt
Filed under: Sorghum bicolor (sorghum)
Lineage: Eukaryota; Viridiplantae; Streptophyta; Magnoliopsida; Poales; Poaceae
Description: long non-coding RNA (SBIC_LNC008591)
Source: RNAcentral
ACCUCCACUCUAUCUCUCUCAAUCUAGUAGAAACUGGAAGAUCUAUUUCUACUUUACAUUGGUUGCUAAGCCUAAAAAGAAAUUUUAUUUAGAGAAGAGGUUUUCCUUCGAGGGCACCCCUCAAUCUCUAUGAUAACUUCUUGUCUUCUCCAGGGGCCAGGGGGGUCUCCUUAUAUAGUCCUCCUCCUCUAUGCAUUUUUGGGUCGGUAGGCGAUGUGGUACUACGUUAUCCUUGAUCCAUUAGGUCGGUGGAACAUCGUGUGCGAAGAGAGUCCUGAUUGGCUUCCAGAGGGGGGCGGGCGCCCAGGUCCUUAGGGCGGGCGCCCUGGGCCUGGCCCCUUUUGGCCUCUGCUUUCUUCCCGUGGCUUCUGGAGUCUUCUAGAUGGUAGAAAAUCACGCGGUGCGUUGAUAUCUCUAUGUAAUCCCGACAUGUGGGCCUUUCUUCCUUCUUUCCUGAUAACCCCCUGCAGAAACAGAUAAACAACAAAACUCGUGGAAUUCUGUCAGAUCAAACCCUAAUUCUAGGUAUUGGUUGCAUAUUGGUCCUUUCUCUUGUUUAUUUGAUAAUUAAAAUUGAUACUUAAGAACCGUCAACAAAUACCCCCAUACUCCUCGAGAAAAGGAUGGUUAAGAACAAUAUCUGGGGUAAAACCUUUUAAAACAUUCUUUUCAUAAUUGCAGGGUGUUAAAAUUCCACUGUGUACUAUAGUCAGGGAAGUAUAUAGUUUAAGAGUAAAGAUCCUUUGUUCUCAAUCUUGUCACUUGGAGUUUUUGUAUAUUUUUGAAAGAAAGUUAGCAUACCUUUUAUCCUCAUAGGUCUUCUCAGAUCACUCAUUAUCUUUUAUAUAUCUCAUUGAGGCUGUUUUAAUUUGCAAAAAUUCUCAAGCAUACUUACUUUUCAUUUAUUGCCUGAUCAAAACAGGAUCCGAGGAGGGGAAUGUCAUACUCUUAGAUCAAAGACUUGCUGGCAUAUUGCUUAUUAGAGGGACCAUGGGCUAUCAUUUUUUUCUCUUUUCUUUUCUUUUUUUAAGUGGAUACCGAGGUAUCCCUAAUUCUACUGCCGGACACUUGUCCAUUUUUCUGUGAGGUUAUCGAGCACUUGCUCCUUUUUAUUCCCUCGAAAUAUCUUUAUUUUUGCAUAGCUCAUGCCUCUAAUGCAAUAAUACUUCGGAAGAGUGAAUCUUUCUGAAUAAUUGUCUUGAUCUUAGGAGCAUGAUAAAUCUCUCAACAAGGGUCUAACUCAUUUUGAACAAACUCAAUACAGAGUAGAUAGCUUUUAUAAUUAUAAUUAAUAUUUUAAGUUUUAUCAGGCAUAUAAAACACUGAGGAUGGUAGCUAGAAUUUUAAAGAUUUUGAAAUAAAUUCUCCAAGCAACAAUGAUAUUAAGAAUAAGAAACUCAUAGUCUACCAUCUCACAUUCCAUACUGUCUUAAGUAACACAGGGUUUUAAAAUAAUUUUAUAAUAGUUGCAAGCUUUCAGAAAAUAUCACAGAGUGAGAUUAAUCAUAUUUAGAAACAUUUUAAUCUUUAUCAUGUUGGAAACAAUAUUCUGCAUAAUCCAAGAUAUGUGUAUGUGUAAAGUAAAGUGUGCAGAGUGUGUAUCUGAAUCGUGGAGUGGUGUAGUCGGAGUGUGUUUGGCAUGUUGAGGGAUCUCCCCCAUACUUGUUUUCUGCUUUCUUGCACAAAAAUAAAGUAGAGACACACAAAACAUAAUAAUAAUAAUAAUAAUAAUAAUAAUAAUAAUAAUAAUAAUAAUAAUAAUAAUAAUAAUAAUAAUAAUAAUAAUAAUAAUAAUAAUAAUACUCUUUAUUAACCUUGAGGCAUUUAUUACAAAUGACUAGUAGUAAACUGAUAGCAAUAGUAACAAACUGAUGAUAAUAGUAAACCUAAACCGAAUUUAAAGAUAGAUAACUAGGAUGCAUUGCCUCAAGGUCUAAUCUAGAUAACUCAGCGGCGCUCUAACUCCUUAAUCUUCUUAUUGGCACUGACAAGAUCCUGCCUAAGGCCUAGUAUAAUGGUGUUGUGGAU